GGGGGUGAAUGGACUCGAUUUAUGAUUUGAGUCUUGAAGUUGCAUGUCGAGGUACGCCGGGAGGCCUCGUUAAAAACCUGGCAAAAAAAAAUAAGCGACGCUGGUUGCGUCUCAUACUCUCUCUGUUAAGAGGGAGGCCUCUUUGAUGUUUGCCUGUGACUUUAAAUGAGGCUCGGAUAGCAGGUUGCCUCUUUCAUUUUGCCUGUGGGUGAAAGAAUAAGAUUUACGCAGGAUAUGCUUAUCUGAAUUCUGCCUUUUGAAGUUAGAUAAGUGAAUUUAAAUAAAAGGCUAUGCAUGUAGAUGCUCAAGAUUUCUUUCGUAAACACGCGGGUUCGAUUCCCGCCACCUCCAUUA
RNAcentral lists this transfer-messenger RNA (354 nucleotides) under Candidatus Saelkia tenebricola. It matches the Rfam family "transfer-messenger RNA". Rfam says of the family: Bacterial tmRNA, also known as 10Sa RNA or SsrA, is named for its dual tRNA and mRNA-like properties. The record is from RNAcentral. Lineage: Bacteria; Pseudomonadati; Candidatus Omnitrophota.